AUAUUGGACAAUGGGCGAAAGCCUGAUCCAGCCAUGCCGCGUGUGUGAAGAAGGUCUUCGGAUUGUAAAGCACUUUAAGUUGGGAGGAAGGGCAGUAAGUUAAUACCUUGCUGUCUUGACGUUACCGACAGAAUAAGCACCGGCUAACUUCGUGCCAGCAGCCGCGGUAAUACGAAGGGUGCAAGCGUUAAGCGGAAUUACUGGGCGUAAAGCGCGCGUAGGUGGUUCGUUAAGUUGGAUGUGAAAGCCCCGGGCUCAACCUGGGAACUGCAUCCAAAACUGGCGAGCUAGAGUAUGGCAGAGGGUGGUGGAAUUUCCUGUGUAGCGGUGAAAUGCGUAGAUAUAGGAAGGAACACCAGUGGCGAAGGCGACCACCUGGGCUAAUACUGACACUGAGGUGCGAAAGCGUGGGGAGCAAACAGG
This 423-nucleotide ribosomal RNA is filed under the name uncultured bacterium. Its description in RNAcentral is "bacterial SSU rRNA". It matches the Rfam family "Bacterial small subunit ribosomal RNA", at positions 361 to 776 of the family's 1533-position model. The record is from RNAcentral.